UACGAAGGGGGCUAGCGUUGCUCGGAAUCACUGGGCGUAAAGCGCACGUAGGCGGCUUCUUAAGUCAGGGGUGAAAUCCUGGAGCUCAACUCCAGAACUGCCUUUGAUACUGAGGAGCUUGAGUCCGGGAGAGGCGAGUGGAACUGCGAGUGUAGAGGUGAAAUUCGUAGAUAUUCGCAAGAACACCAGUGGCGAAGGCGGCUCACUGGCCCGGUACUGACGCUGAGGUGCGAAAGCGUGGGGAGCAAACAGG
This 253-nucleotide ribosomal RNA is filed under the name uncultured bacterium. Its description in RNAcentral is "partial 16S ribosomal RNA". It matches the Rfam family "Bacterial small subunit ribosomal RNA", at positions 524 to 776 of the family's 1533-position model. The record is from RNAcentral.